Molecule: ribosomal RNA, 763 nt
Filed under: uncultured Streptococcus sp.
Lineage: Bacteria; Bacillati; Bacillota; Bacilli; Lactobacillales; Streptococcaceae
Description: bacterial SSU rRNA
Rfam family: Bacterial small subunit ribosomal RNA
Source: RNAcentral
GACGAACGCGGGCGGCGUGCCUAAUACAUGCAAGUAGAACGCUGAAGGAGGAGCUUGCUCUUCUGGAUGAGUUGCGAACGGGUGAGUAACGCGUAGGUAACCUGCCUGGUAGCGGGGGAUAACUAUUGGAAACGAUAGCUAAUACCGCAUAAGAGUAGAUGUUGCAUGACAUUUACUUAAAAGGUGCAAUUGCAUCACUACCAGGUGGACCUGCGUUGUAUUAGCUAGUUGGUGGGGUAACGGCUCACCAAGGCGACGAUACAUAGCCGACCUGAGAGGGUGAUCGGCCACACUGGGACUGAGACACGGCCCAGACUCCUACGGGAGGCAGCAGUAGGGAAUCUUCGGCAAUGGGGGCAACCCUGACCGAGCAACGCCGCGUGAGUGAAGAAGGUUUUCGGAUCGUAAAGCUCUGUUGUAAGAGAAGAACGAGUGUGAGAGUGGAAAGUUCACACUGUGACGGUAACUUACCAGAAAGGGACGGCUAACUACGUGCCAGCAGCCGCGGUAAUACGUAGGUCCCGAGCGUUAUCCGGAUUUAUUGGGCGUAAAGCGAGCGCAGGCGGUUAGAUAAGUCUGAAGUUAAAGGCUGUGGCUUAACCAUAGUACGCUUUGGAAACUGUUUAACUUGAGUGCAGAAGGGGAGAGUGGAAUUCCAUGUGUAGCGGUGAAAUGCGUAGAUAUAUGGAGGAACACCGGUGGCGAAAGCGGCUCUCUGGUCUGUAACUGACGCUGAGGCUCGAAAGCGUGGGGAGCAAACAGG